Molecule: long non-coding RNA, 2615 nt
Organism: Quercus robur (English oak)
Lineage: Eukaryota; Viridiplantae; Streptophyta; Magnoliopsida; Fagales; Fagaceae
Exons: 4
Source: RefSeq, a predicted model, not a curated record
UAUAGGGUUAAACUUAAAAACAUAAAAACUCAAAAUCCAUCACCAUUUCCCAAAAUACUAUCAACAGAGGAAGGAGGUAGAGAGAGAGAGAGAGAGAGAGAGAGAGAGAGAUUUGAUUCAGUUACCGGCGGUCUCUAAUUCGCUUGGUGCAGGUCGGGAACUACUUCGCUUCGCUUGUUAAAAAUGGGAGUUUCAUAAUAUCACUUAUAUAUAAUAAAAAUAAAAAUAAAAAUAUAUAGAUAUAGAUAGCCAGUUGGCGUUUUGGGAUUGGUUAGGGAGCGAAUUGGAUCCCGCCUUGCAUCAACUGAAUCGGAGACCGCGGUGAAGAAGAAAGAUGUUUUACAGGUUGCAUGGAUCUCGCCUUUUUCCCUGGCUCAUUCUCAGAUCUCAGGUGCUGAAUGCAUUGGGGUUCCAGACCAUGUUGCUCACUAGUUUUUCUACACAUCUUUCAUAAUUCACCUUGGAAUGUUCAGUUAUGGUUGGUACCCAAAUGAACCUCUCCCAUAUGAGGCUGAAUGAUUCUGGGGAAAUGUUGAUAUGGCUGUUUAGAUGUUAUGCUGGAGGUCAUGAAACCUUUGUCAACCCAUGUGGUACAUUUUGAAUGUUUAGAUCUUAAAAGGGAUCACACUUUCUAGCAAUUGAUGCAGAGAACAUUGUUUAGGUGGCAGAAUUGCUGAGAUCUUUAGUUUACAUUUCAGAAGGCGUGAUAUGUAUUUCACCAACCUUAGAACUGCUUGCUGAAACUUUUGCAUCAAUUAUAUCACACAAGGCUGAGCUCUGCUUGACCUAGGUAUUCCUAUAAUUAAGUUUAAUGUGCUUCAUGAUCUUUGCUUUUUCACUGAGGUCUCCUUUAAACAAGAACAUGAAGAAUCCUUGUUUCAAAAUUCCUGCUGUUUAUGUGUGUGUGUGUGUGUGUGAACCUUGAAUAUAACAUGUUGCUUAUCUUCAAAUAUCUAGUGACUUUAAAAGUUACUGACUUCUGAGUACAGAUUUUUUACAAGAAUGUUACAGUUUUUUUAUUUUAUGUGUACACAUCAUCCUUGUUUUUCCUUAAUAUAAUGUUGCAUGUCUGUAAAUAUCUAGUGACUUCACGAGUUGCUAUGAUUUCUAAUCAGAUUUUUAAUAAGGUUACAUUUUUUCCCUAGUGACGUGUACAUGCCCUUAGAAUAUAAUCUACAACAUUUAGAAUAGAGUGGCUGAUAUCAUAUAAUCUAAAAAUUAUUUUUUCAACCAAUGAUGUUCCAUCUAAAUGUUGAAAUACACAAUAUUUAAGAAAUAUAAAAUGAAAUGGGCUUUUUUUUUUAUAUAUAUUUUUUUAUUCCUUCAUUUUGGGAAAAAGGGUUAGGGAAUUUAUGGUUUAAUGAAGAAGCAGUAAUCAACAAAUAUAAUCAUUAAAAUUCUUUGAUUCCCUUAAUUUUAUAUUUUAAAUUUAAUUUAUGUUAAAUAAAAAUGAAAUUUAUUUAUAUGGCUUAAACAAGAUCAUGUCAAAAUGGGUUAAACUGCAUUGACAUGAAUAAUGAAAAAGAUCAUUUUGGAUUGAUUGCGGCUUACACAGAUCAAAACAAAAUUGACCAAUUUAUUAAUCUUGUUAAAGUGGGUUGAUCCAUUAUGACACGAAUCUAUGUAUAUAAAAUUAUGUCUUUGUUUGUGUCAUGUUUGCGUGACGUGUUAAACAUUGCUUUUUGACACCCUUGCUAAAUGGGUUGUGUCAUAUCCAACUGUGGGAAAAGCUGUUUUAGUCAAAUUUGUCGAAUCAUUUCUCCAAUACCCUUGCCUAAAUUGUCAAUGCAUCUUUUCUUGCUUAUUAUCUAAAGUUACUUUAUAGGUUCAAAUUGUCAACCAAACUUUUCUCUUUUCCCACCUUCCUUCGAUUUUUAGUUAAGUUUUUUACCUGUCAAAAAAAAAACCUGAUGGUAACUUUUUUCCCUAUUAUCUUUGGGCCUAUAUGGUUUUACCUUACCUUUUUUUUCGUUUAUUUUAUUUAUUUUCUUAUGGGGUGGGGGAAGAGGGUGUUGGUUGGAAAUUAUAGUGAUUUAUCUUCUUCUGGUGGGUUUAGAAUUAAGUUAUUAUGUUUAGCCAAAUGCGCAAGUCUGGACUCAUCUGGUGGGUUCUUGUUCGAGGUCAGUAAGGUGAUUUGUUUUGUUUAAACUUUGAAUUUUAGCUAGCAGGAUGGCUCCUCAAUCUUGAUGAAUAUUGUGCUAGAUAGGGCAAGAUAUGGUAAGGCAGGGUGUUUUUUUGCAUUUUUUUAGCUUGGUUAUAGAAUAUGGUUAAGGAAUGCAGUGCAGGACAGAUUGCUUUCCAUUGCUAAUCAUAUGCAGGAGCUUUAAUUUUUCAGACAGGUUUUGUGAUGUAUGGGAUGGGUCUAGUAGAAUAGGAAUUUUGGUCAUGGAAUUAAAUAUCUUAUGGGUUUAAUUCAAAAGCUUCAGGCCUGGUUUGCAGAAAAAGCAAACCAGUUCAGGGUUUUAAAACGGUCUUGGAAGAAGGCACUCGGCUUGCAUACACCCUAUUGCCUGACUCUGGUUGGGUUAACAGAUUACAAUUAUAUUACCACUUGGCUUGCUUAAUAUACAAGUUGUAAAGUAUUAAAAAAAAAAAAAAAAAACUAAAUAACAAAA